Molecule: ribosomal RNA, 484 nt
Filed under: uncultured bacterium
Lineage: Bacteria
Description: partial 16S ribosomal RNA
Rfam family: Bacterial small subunit ribosomal RNA
Source: RNAcentral
AUUGCCCGCUGGCGGCAGGCCUAACACAUGCAAGUCGAGCGGAUGAAGGGAGCUUGCUCCUGGACUCAGCGGCGGACGGGUGAGUAAUGCCUAGGAAUCUGCCUGGUAGUGGGGGAUAACGUCCGGAAACGGGCGCUAAUACCGCAUACGUCCUGAGGGAGAAAGUGGGGGAUCUUCGGACCUCACGCUAUCAGAUGAGCCUAGGUCGGAUUAGCUAGUUGGUGGGGUAAAGGCCUACCAAGGCGACGAUCCGUAACUGGUCUGAGAGGAUGAUCAGUCACACUGGAACUGAGACACGGUCCAGACUCCUACGGGAGGCAGCAGUGGGGAAUAUUGGACAAUGGGCGAAAGCCUGAUCCAGCCAUGCCGCGUGUGUGAAGAAGGUCUUCGGAUUGUAAAGCACUUUAAGUUGGGAGGAAGGGCAGUAAGUUAAUACCUUGCUGUUUUGACGUUACCAACAGAAUAAGCACCGGCUAACUUCGUG